This 370-nucleotide unclassified non-coding RNA is filed under the name Wedelia tegetis. RNAcentral's name for it is "partial external transcribed spacer". Lineage: Eukaryota; Viridiplantae; Streptophyta; Magnoliopsida; Asterales; Asteraceae. The record is from RNAcentral.
GCUUUCCUCUCUGACAAAACCCACCCGGUGGUACGAGCCAAUUCGGGCUAGGCAGUCAUUCUAAGAAAAGCGAGAACGCUAAACGAGGGCAAAACAGGAAUCCAUGAUACCUCAUGCCCACAUCAGGUUCAGUAUCCAAGAUACCAAGCAAAACUCAAUGGUCCGCACCUUCGACGCAAGCAUCGAUGAUGAGGUUCAAAGAGACGGCUUCAGGGUCCAUCUCGUGCCAUGUAGAUGACACAAGACGAAAGCGACUUUGAUCAAGCGAGACAAUACCGUCAAUUAGGUAGGCAGCACAGAAACCAACAUUCCGCUUUGGCGAUACAAGCCUAAACAGACAACUGAAGGGGUAUGCAGGGUGGAAGUUGUU